UGAGUACGAGAUGCUACGGCAUCGAAGCAGUCUAUGUCAUACUUCCAAGAAAAGCUUGCACUGUCAGAAACAGAUAAUGCCUGUACCAUAACCGACACAGGUGGGUAGGUAGAGUAUACUAAGGGGCGCGAGAUAACUCUCUCUAAGGAACUCGGCAAAAUGACUCCGUAACUUCGGGAGAAGGAGUGCCUUAUUUUUAAGGUUGCAAUAACAAGAUCCAAGCAACUGUUUACCAAAAACACAGGUCUCCGCUAAGUCGUAAGACGAUGUAUGGGGGCUGACGCCUGCCCAGUGCCAGAAGGUUAAAGAAGUCGGUUAGCAUUCGCGAAGCUGGUAACUGAAGCCCAGGUGAACGGCGGCCGUAACGAUAACGGUCCUAAGGUAGCGAAAUUCCUUGUCGGGUAAGUUCCGACCCGCACGAAAGGCGUAAUGAUUUGGAUACUGUCUCGGAGAGGGGCUCGGUGAAAUAGACUUGUCUGUGAAGAUGCGGACUACCUGCACCUGGACAGAAGGACCCUAUGAAGCUUUACUGUAACUUGAAAUUGAAAUUGGACUUUAUUUGCGCAGUAUAGGUGGGAGGCGUUGAAAAUAUUCUUGCGGGAAUAUUGGAGCCAUCAGUGAGAUACCACUCUUGUAAUGUUAGAUUUCUAACUUUAUAUCAUUAUCUGGUUAAAGAACAGUUUCAGGCGGGCAGUUUGACUGGGGCGGUCGCCUCCCAAAUGGUAACGGAGGCGCACAAAGGUUUCCUCUGAACGGGUAGAAAUCGUAUCUAGAGUGUAAAGGCAUAAGGAAGCUUGACUGUGAGACCUACAAGUCGAGCAGGGACGAAAGUCGGUCUUAGUGAUCUGAUGGUGCUGAGUGGAAAGGCCGUCACUCAACGGAUAAAAGUUACUCUAGGAUAACAGGCUGAUCUCCCCCAAGAGUUCACAUCGACGGGGAGGUUUGGCACCUCGAUGUCGGCUCAUCGCAUCCUGGGGCGGUAGUACGUCCCAAGGGUUGGGCUGUUCGCCCAUGAAAGCGGUACGCGAGCUGGGUUCAGAACGUCGUGAGACAGUUCGGUCCAUAUCCGGUGUAGGCGUUAGAAUAUUGAGAGGAGCCUUCUUUAGUACGAGAGGACCGAGAAGGACAUACCUCUGGUGUACCAGUUAUCGUGCCAACGGUAAACGCUGGGUAGCUAUGUAUGGAGUGGAUAACCGCUGAAAGCAUCUAAGUGGGAAGCCCACCUCAAGAUAAGUAUUCUCAU
Molecule: ribosomal RNA, 1243 nt
Filed under: metagenome
Description: bacterial LSU rRNA
Rfam family: Bacterial large subunit ribosomal RNA
Source: RNAcentral